UGAGGAAUAUUGGUCAAUGGACGCAAGUCUGAACCAGCCAAGUAGCGUGCAGGAUGACGGCCCUAUGGGUUGUAAACUGCUUUUAUAUGGGGAUAAAGUGUGGAACGUGUUCCCUUUUUCAGGUACCAUAUGAAUAAGGACCGUCUAAUUCCGUGCCAGCAGCCGCGGUAAUACGGAAGGUUCGGGCGUUAUCCGGAUUUAUUGGGUUUAAAGGGAGCGUAGGCCGUUUGGUAUGCUUGUUGUGAAAUGUAGGAGCUCAACUUCUAGAUUGCAGCGCGAACUGUCAGACUUGAGUACGCACAACGUAGGCGGAAUUCAUGGUGUAGCGGUGAAAUGCUUAGAUAUCAUGAAGAACUCCGAUUGCGAAGGCAGCUUACGGGAGCGCAACUGACGCUGAAGCUCGAAGGUGCGGGUAUCGAACAGG
RNAcentral lists this ribosomal RNA (424 nucleotides) under Verrucomicrobiota bacterium. Its description in RNAcentral is "Verrucomicrobia bacterium partial 16S ribosomal RNA". It matches the Rfam family "Bacterial small subunit ribosomal RNA", at positions 355 to 776 of the family's 1533-position model. Lineage: Bacteria; Pseudomonadati; Verrucomicrobiota. The record is from RNAcentral.